AGUGAACGCUGGCGGUAGGCCUAACACAUGCAAGUCGAACGGCAGCACAGUAAGAGCUUGCUCUUACGGGUGGCGAGUGGCGGACGGGUGAGGAAUACAUCGGAAUCUACUUUUUCGUGGGGGAUAACGUAGGGAAACUUACGCUAAUACCGCAUACGACCUACGGGUGAAAGCAGGGGAUCUUCGGACCUUGCGCGAUUGAAUGAGCCGAUGUCGGAUUAGCUAGUUGGCGAGGUAAAGGCCCACCAAGGCGACGAUCCGUAGCUGGUCUGAGAGGAUGAUCAGCCACACUGGAACUGAGACACGGUCCAGACUCCUACGGGAGGCAGCAGUGGGGAAUAUUGGACAACGGGCGCAAGCCUGAUCCAGCCAUACCGCGUGGGUGAAGAAGGCCUUCGGGUUGUAAAGCCCUUUUGUUGGGAAAGAAAAGCAGCAGGUUAAUACCCCGCUGUUCUGACGGUACCCAAAGAAUAAGCACCGGCUAACUUCGUG
This 492-nucleotide ribosomal RNA is filed under the name uncultured bacterium. RNAcentral describes it as "partial 16S ribosomal RNA". It matches the Rfam family "Bacterial small subunit ribosomal RNA", at positions 29 to 507 of the family's 1533-position model. The record is from RNAcentral.